GGGAUUGUGGCUCAGUGGUAGAGCGCUUGCCUUGCACGUAGGAGGCACUAGGUUCAAUACUCAGCACCA
RNAcentral lists this transfer RNA (69 nucleotides) under Ictidomys tridecemlineatus (thirteen-lined ground squirrel). Its description in RNAcentral is "Spermophilus tridecemlineatus (thirteen-lined ground squirrel) tRNA". It matches the Rfam family "tRNA". From Rfam's summary of the family: Transfer RNA (tRNA) molecules are approximately 80 nucleotides in length. Their secondary structure includes four short double-helical elements and three loops (D, anti-codon, and T loops). The record is from Rfam by way of RNAcentral. Lineage: Eukaryota; Metazoa; Chordata; Mammalia; Rodentia; Sciuridae.